RNAcentral lists this long non-coding RNA (207 nucleotides) under Physcomitrium patens. RNAcentral's name for it is "long non-coding RNA (PPAT_LNC005101)". Lineage: Eukaryota; Viridiplantae; Streptophyta; Bryopsida; Funariales; Funariaceae. The record is from RNAcentral.
UGGAACAUUCAAGAAAGGAUUUAGGCUAGUUAUUUAGAUAAUAUCUACCAUUAAAAACAUUCUAGAAAGUUUUAAGGUAGUUGAACAAAGUAUAAAUAGGAUUCACCAAGGCCACUUGGAUAUUUGAUCAAGUAUGGUUUUGGUUUCUUUCUCUUAAUAAAGUUUAAUUUUUUACUUUUGUAUUCAAUUUUAUUCUAUUUUCUUUUA